UACAGAGGUGGCAAGCGUUGUUCGGAAUUACUGGGCGUAAAGGGUGCGUAGGCGGGCCUUUAAGUCAGGGGUGAAAUCCUGGAGCUCAACUCCAGAACUGCCUUUGAUACUGAGGAUCUUGAGUACGGGAGAGGUGAGUGGAACUGCGAGUGUAGAGGUGAAAUUCGUAGAUAUUCGCAAGAACACCAGUGGCGAAGGCGGCUCACUGGCCCGUUACUGACGCUGAGGCACGAAAGCGUGGGGAGCAAACAGG
RNAcentral lists this ribosomal RNA (253 nucleotides) under uncultured bacterium. RNAcentral's name for it is "partial 16S ribosomal RNA". It matches the Rfam family "Bacterial small subunit ribosomal RNA", at positions 524 to 776 of the family's 1533-position model. The record is from RNAcentral.